CCUACGGGAGGCAGCAGUGGGGGAUAUUGCACAAUGGGGGAAACCCUGAUGCAGCGACGCCGCGUGGGUGAAGAAGCGCCUCGCCGCGUAAAGCCCUCUCAGCAGGGAAGAAAAUGACGGUACCUGAAGAAGAAGCCCCGGCUAACUACGUGCCAGCAGCCGCGGUAAUACGUAGGGGGCAAGCGUUAUCCGGAUUUACUGGGUGUAAAGGGGGCGCAGACGGCGAUGCAAGCCAGGAGUGAAAGCCCGGGGCCCAACCCCGGGACUGCUCUUGGUACUGCGUGGCUAGAGAGCAGGACGGGCAG
This 305-nucleotide ribosomal RNA is filed under the name uncultured bacterium. Its description in RNAcentral is "bacterial SSU rRNA". It matches the Rfam family "Bacterial small subunit ribosomal RNA", at positions 338 to 660 of the family's 1533-position model. The record is from RNAcentral.